AAGUAACUACACUAAACCAUUUUCAAGUCAUUAAUUCACUUCUCAAGUAACUACACUUGAUUAAUUUGAAGUCACUAGUACACAUUUAAAAACACUACACACAACCAUUUUUAACUCUCUAAUUAACUUCUCAAGUGACUAAACUUAAUCAAUUUCAAGUCAUGAAUUAACAUUUCAAGUAUGAACACUAAACCAAUUUCAAGUCAUGAAUUUACAUUUUCAAGUGAUUACACUUUACAAAUUUUAAAACACAAGUUCACCUUUCAAGAACUACACUAAACCAUUUUCAACUCGAUGAUCCACUUUUCAAGUGACUAGUACACAUUUCAAAACGCUAUACUUAACCAUUUUCAACUCUCUAAUUCACUUCUCAAGUGACUAAACAUAACCAUUUUUAAGUCAUGAUUCACAUUUCAAGUAUCAACACUAAACCAAUUUCAAGUCAUGAAUUCACAUUUUCAAGUGAUUACACUUUAAAAAUUUUAAAAUACAAGUUCACCUUUCAAGAACUACACUAAACCAUUUUCAACUCGAUGAUCCACUUUUCAAGUGACUAGUACACAUUUCAAAACGCUAUACUUAACCAUUUUCAACUCUCUAAUUCACUUCUCAAGUGACUAAACAUAACCAUUUUUAAGUCAUGAUUCACAUUUCAAGUAUCAACACUAAACCAAUUUCAAGUCAUGAAUUCACAUUUUCAAGUGAUUACACUUUACAAAUUUCAAAACACAAAAGUUCACCUUUCAAGAACAACACUAAACUAUUUUCAAAUUGCUAAUCCACUUUUCAAGUGCCUAGUACACAUUUCAAAAAACUACACACAACCAUUUUCAACUCUCUAAUUCACUUCUCAAGUAACUAAACUUAACCAAUUUUAAGUCAUUAAUUCACUUUUCAAGUAUCAACACAAAACCAAUUUCAAGUAAUGAAUUCACAUUUACAAGUGAUUACACUUUUAAAAUUUUAAAACACAAGUUUACCUUUCAAGAACUACACUAAACCAUUUUCAAGUCGGUAAUCCACUUUUCAAGUGACUAGUACACAUUUCAAAAUACUACACUUAACUAUUUUCAAAUCUCUAAUUCACUUCUCAAGUGACUAAAUAUAACCAUUUUCAUGUCAUGAAUUCACAUUUCAAGUAUCAACACUAAAUCAAUUUCAAGUCAUGAAUUCACAUUUUCAAGUGAUUACAUUUUAUAAAUUUCAAAACACAAGUUCACCUUUUAAGAACUACAUUAAACCAUUUUCAAGUCGCUAAUACACUUUUCAAGUGACUACUACACAUUUCAAAACACUACAUCAAGUCGCUAAUACACUUUUCAAGCGACUAGUAAACAUUUAAAAAUGUUAACCAUUUCAACUCUCUAAUUCACUUCUCAAGUGACUAAACAUAACCAUUUUCAAGUCAUGAAUUAACAUUUCCAAGUGAUUACUCUUUACAAAUUUCAAAAUACAAGUUCACCUUUUAAGAACUACACUAAACCAUUUUCAAGUCGUUAAUCCAUUUUUCAAGUGACUAGUACACAUUUCAAAACACUACACAACCAUUUUCAACUCUCUAAUUCACUUCUCAAGUGACUAAACUUAACCAAUUUCAAGUCAUGAAUUCACAUUUUCAAGCGAUUACACUAUACAAAUUUCAAAACACAAGUUCACCUUUCAAGAACUACACUAAACCAUUUUCCAGUCGCUAAUCCACUUUUCAAGUGACUAGUACACGUUUCAAAACACUACACUUAACCAUUUUCAGCUCUCUAAUUCACUUCUUAAGUGACUAAACUUAAACAUUUUCAAAUCAUGAAUUCACAUUUCAAGUAUCAACACUAAACCAAUUUUAAGUCAUGAAUUCAUAUUUUCUAGUGAUUACACAUUACGAAUUGAUGUUUAACCAUUUUCGUUCUUCAAUAAUGCUUAUAAAUUAUUUGGGUCCUAUAAUUAUCUAAGAUACUCAUGAGAUCAUUUACUUAACUUCCACUACAUUUUAUCCAUUAUGUGGUCCUAAAAUUCUAUUAACUCUCUAAAUUUUUAAAAUAUUUUGUCAGAGUUUCCUUUGUAAAUAGGCCUAUAGCAAACCGGUCAGCUAAUCAGAAUACAUAUAAAUACACUUCAGAAAGAAUUACAA
Molecule: long non-coding RNA, 2122 nt
Filed under: Capsicum annuum
Lineage: Eukaryota; Viridiplantae; Streptophyta; Magnoliopsida; Solanales; Solanaceae
Description: long non-coding RNA (CANN_LNC014151)
Source: RNAcentral